AUGGGGAAAUCACCAUUUGAAGUUUUGUAUGGACAACCUCCGAGGUAUUUUGGUAUUUCUACAUCAGACACAAUUCCUCCCUUGGACAUUCAACAGUGGUUGCAAGAUCGACAGGUUGUAGUUGAGUCUGUCCGGCAACACUUGCUGCGAACUCAACAGAGAAUGAAACAGUUAGCAGAUAAACACAGGACUGAGAGAGUUUUUGGUGUGGGCGAGCUGGUUUUCCUUAAGUUGCAACCUUAUGUCCAGUCUUCAGUGGUACACCGAGCAAAUCAUAAGUUGGCUUACAAGUUAGAACUUCCGGAGGGCAGCAGGAUACUCCCAGUCUUCCAUGUCUCACAGCUGAAGAAAGUGGUUGCACCGACCUGUCCUAUAUCAAGCACGUUACCCUCUGUU
Molecule: ribosomal RNA, 396 nt
Filed under: Triticum aestivum (bread wheat)
Lineage: Eukaryota; Viridiplantae; Streptophyta; Magnoliopsida; Poales; Poaceae
Description: partial small subunit ribosomal RNA
Source: RNAcentral